RNAcentral lists this long non-coding RNA (439 nucleotides) under Elaeis guineensis (African oil palm). RNAcentral describes it as "long non-coding RNA (EGUI_LNC046110)". Lineage: Eukaryota; Viridiplantae; Streptophyta; Magnoliopsida; Arecales; Arecaceae. The record is from RNAcentral.
AUGGUACUGUAGAUACCUUGAAUCAGGGUGAUAUCAGGGGUUCUUCACAUCGAAAUACCUCAGACCAGUGUGGUAUCGAGGGUAGCUCAAGUCAGUAAGCUAUCUUGAUGGUUGCCAACCCAAACAUUGAGGUGAAUUAGGUGGAGCUGAGUUAUUUACAUCCAGAUCUAUGGUGCAUCUCAUUUGGCUUGAGCAUCCUCAAUUACCUCGACUGGACAGUUUUCUAGAUCGGACAGAAGCAGUAUAAGUCUGCUGGUUGGGCCUCGGGUCGAAUCUGAUCUUAGGUAACUUAGGACCUUAAUUAAAUUGGUCUUAAGGGGCUAAUCUAUGGUUUGAACUGGGUUUAAGUUCGAAGGGUGAGUGUAUAGCAAUACAUGGGUGUACAUGGGCUCGGUGAGUGCACAAUAGGUUAGCUAUUGGGAGUUUUGUUGAGUGACCC